This 19-nucleotide small nuclear RNA is filed under the name Arabidopsis thaliana (thale cress). Its description in RNAcentral is "snRNA_11622". The record is from RNAcentral. Lineage: Eukaryota; Viridiplantae; Streptophyta; Magnoliopsida; Brassicales; Brassicaceae.
UGACCAUCGUGAAAGCUUA